RNAcentral lists this ribosomal RNA (375 nucleotides) under Triticum aestivum (bread wheat). Its description in RNAcentral is "partial small subunit ribosomal RNA". The record is from RNAcentral. Lineage: Eukaryota; Viridiplantae; Streptophyta; Magnoliopsida; Poales; Poaceae.
AUGUUCUGUAUUUCUUCAUGGCCUUGUUGCUCAGCUAGAGCUCUUGGGGUCCAGCCAUUGCUGUCCUGCUUGUCAAUGUCUGCUCCGUGUCUUAGUAACAGCUCAACCAUCUCAACAUUCCCAUCGCAGACAGCACGGUGUAGCGGAAUGUUUCCGUCCUUGGAUGGCCUGUUUACAUCGAUGACAUGUUUGAGUAUUUGCUUGAGCAGUUCUAUAUUAUUUUGCUCGACUGCGGUGCAAGCAUAUAAGCUUGUAUCCCCCGAUGAUAGUUCUGCACCGCCCUUGACUAACAGCUGCACAACCGUAUCAUGUUUCGCAUACACAGCCUCCCAUAGCGGAACCUUUCCUUCCGAAUCUGGAUAUUGGAAGAAUUAA